UACUCGAGUGGCGAACGGGUGAGUAACACGUGGGUGAUCUGCCCUGCACUCUGGGAUAAGCCUGGGAAACUGGGUCUAAUACCGGAUAGGACCAUGCUUUAGUGUGUGUGGUGGAAAGUUUUUUAGGUGUAGGAUGAGCCCGCGGCCUAUCAGCUUGUUGGUGGGGUAAUGGCCUACCAAGGCGGCGACGGGUAGCCGGACUGAGAGGUUGGUCGGCCACAUUGGGACUGAGAUACGGCCCAG
RNAcentral lists this ribosomal RNA (243 nucleotides) under uncultured Actinomycetales bacterium. Its description in RNAcentral is "partial 16S ribosomal RNA". It matches the Rfam family "Bacterial small subunit ribosomal RNA", at positions 88 to 334 of the family's 1533-position model. Lineage: Bacteria; Bacillati; Actinomycetota; Actinomycetes; Actinomycetales. The record is from RNAcentral.